GUGCUCGCUUCGGCAGCACAUAUACUAAAAUUGGAACAAUACAGAGGAGAUUAGCAUGGAACCUGCACAAGGAUGACAUACAAAUUCGUGAAGCAUCAAAAAAAAAA
Molecule: small nuclear RNA, 107 nt
Organism: Mastomys coucha (southern multimammate mouse)
Lineage: Eukaryota; Metazoa; Chordata; Mammalia; Rodentia; Muridae
Source: RefSeq, a predicted model, not a curated record